GGGGGAGUUCCAGAGCGGUCAAAUGGGGCAGACUGUAAAUCUGUUGUCACUGACUUCGGUGGUUCGAAUCCACCCUCCCCCACCA
RNAcentral lists this transfer RNA (85 nucleotides) under Oscillibacter sp. 1-3. RNAcentral describes it as "tRNA-Tyr". It matches the Rfam family "tRNA". Rfam says of the family: Transfer RNA (tRNA) molecules are approximately 80 nucleotides in length. The record is from RNAcentral. RNAcentral also lists the same sequence under 2 other names. Lineage: Bacteria; Bacillati; Bacillota; Clostridia; Eubacteriales; Oscillospiraceae.